RNAcentral lists this unclassified non-coding RNA (1383 nucleotides) under uncultured apicomplexan. RNAcentral's name for it is "sequence contains 18S rRNA gene, ITS1, 5.8S rRNA gene, ITS2, 28S rRNA gene". The stretch from base 442 to 1383 matches the Rfam family "Eukaryotic large subunit ribosomal RNA", at positions 1 to 961 of the family's 3401-position model. The record is from RNAcentral. Lineage: Eukaryota; Apicomplexa.
AGAUGGAUCAUUCACGUUCUAAUGUAACGAAUUGUGUCGCUGGUGACGUCUUUCGAAGAGUAUAUACUGUGCUUUUGUUUGUGGACUUACGUGGAAUUGCUGAACUGACAGUAGUUGGUCAACCACGGUGGCUGAUGAGUGAAAACUGUAAAAUUAUUUUCUGCGAUGGAUGUCUCGGAUCUCAUAACGAUGAAGGAUGCAGCUAGCUGCAGUAUGCAGUAUGACUUGCAACUUUCUCUGAAUCAUUAGGUUUCUGAAUGCGCAUGGUACCUCUAAACUUUGUUUAGGGGUAAGUUCUCUUCAGUGCUUUGUCAAUUUCGUAAGUGCACUGCUGUGCACGUGACGUGAUUAGUGACUGUGCUAACAGUUGCUUCGCUUUCAACGGUUGCAUCUCACAAGUAAAUUUGAUAUGAGAGACUGCUACCAUGAACGCUUACAUAAAAGCCUGAAGUUGAUCUAGGUUACCCGCUGAACUUAAGCAUAUUAUUAAGCGGAGGAAAAGAAACUAACUAGGAUUUCCUGAGUAGCGGCGAGUGAACAGGAAAGAGCUCAAACUGAAAAUCGGCAGUUCGCUGUUGAAUUGUAGUCUGAUGAAGUGCAGCCUGUGGUGGUUCUGGAUUAAGUCUCUUGGAAAAGAGUGCCAUAGAGGGUGAAAGUCCCGUCUUUGUCCAGAAUUACUUACGUUCGGUGCAUUUUCCAAGAGUCGCGUUCCUCGAGAUUGGAGCGCAAAGAGGGUGAUAAAUUUCAUCUAAAGCUAAAUACCAAUGAGUUUCCGAUAGUUUACAAGUACCGUGAGGGAAAGAUGAAAAGGACUUUGAAAAGAGAGUUAAAAGGAACUGAAAUUGCUGAAAGAGAAGUGGAGAGAAGCUACGGCUUAGUGGGUCACGGUGUCCACUUAGGUUAUCGUUGACCUAUGUUGGAUUCUAGUGGCCUGCGGUUACUUUGGAAAUGAUUGUCACUUUUAACUAAGGUGCCUGAGAUGUUUCUUCGGAAGCACUUUAAUGCUGGUCUUAACUAUGGCAAUUCCCUACCUAGAAGUGCAUUCAAUUUGCUCUUCUACGUUAUUCCAAAGAUGUUGCUUCUCUCCGUCCCGUCUUGAAACACGGACCAAGGAGUCUAACUUGUAUGCGAGUAUAGGGGAGGGCAAUCCCGCGUGCGAAGUGAAAGCAAGAGUCAGGAUGGUUAGCUUGAACUGACACCCAGCUAUCAGGCUGCGGCUGAGCAUACAGGGUAGGACCCGAAAGAUGGUGAACUAUGCCUGAGUAGGGUGAAGCCAGGGGAAACUCUGGUGGAGGUCCGUAGCGAUACUGACGUGCAAAUCGUUCGUCAAACUUGGGUAUAGGGGCGAAAGACUAAUCGAACCAUCUAGUAGCUGGUUCUCUC